UACGAGGGGUCCUAGCGUUGUUCGGAAUCAUUGGGCGUAAAGAGUAUGUAGGCGGCCUUGUAAGUCAGGUGUGAAAGCCCCGGGCUCAACCCGGGAAGUGCACUUGAUACUGCUUGGCUUGAAUGUUGGAGAGGGUAGUAGAAUUCCAGGUGUAGUGGUGAAAUACGUAGAUAUCUGGAGGAAUACCGGUGGCGAAGGCGGCUAUCUGGCCAAACAUUGACGCUGAGAUACGAAAGCGUGGGUAGCAAACAGG
RNAcentral lists this ribosomal RNA (253 nucleotides) under uncultured bacterium. Its description in RNAcentral is "partial 16S ribosomal RNA". It matches the Rfam family "Bacterial small subunit ribosomal RNA", at positions 524 to 776 of the family's 1533-position model. The record is from RNAcentral.